Molecule: ribosomal RNA, 429 nt
Filed under: Bacillota bacterium
Lineage: Bacteria; Bacillati; Bacillota
Description: Firmicutes bacterium partial 16S ribosomal RNA
Rfam family: Bacterial small subunit ribosomal RNA
Source: RNAcentral
UAGGGAAUCUUCGGCAAUGGACGGAAGUCUGACCGAGCAACGCCGCGUGAGUGAAGAAGGUUUUCGGAUCGUAAAGCUCUGUUGUUAGAGAAGAACGUUGGUAGGAGUGGAAAAUCUACCAAGUGACGGUAACUAACCAGAAAGGGACGGCUAACUACGUGCCAGCAGCCGCGGUAAUACGUAGGUCCCGAGCGUUGUCCGGAUUUAUUGGGCGUAAAGCGAGCGCAGGCGGUUCUUUAAGUCUGAAGUUAAAGGCAGUGGCUUAACCAUUGUACGAUUUGGAAACGGGAGGACUUGAGUGCUGAAGGGGAAAGUGGAAUUCCAUGUGUAGCGGUGAAAUGCCUAGAUAUAUGGAGGAACACCGGUGGCAGAAGCGGCUCGCUGGUCUGUAUCUGACGCUGAGGCUCGAAAGCGUAGGGAGCAAACAGG